RNAcentral lists this ribosomal RNA (427 nucleotides) under uncultured bacterium. RNAcentral's name for it is "partial 16S ribosomal RNA". It matches the Rfam family "Bacterial small subunit ribosomal RNA", at positions 355 to 774 of the family's 1533-position model. The record is from RNAcentral.
UGGGGAAUAUUGCACAAUGGGCGCAAGCCUGAUGCAGCCAUGCCGCGUGUAUGAAGAAGGCCUUCGGGUCGUAAAGUACUUUCAGCGGGGAGGAAGGGAGUAAAGUUAAUACCUUUGCUCAUUGACGUUACCCGCAGAAGAAGCACCGGCUAACUCCGUGCCAGCAGCCGCGGUAAUACGGAGGGUGCAAGCGUUAACCGGAAUUACUGGGCGUAAAGCGCACGCAGGCGGUUUGUUAAGUCAGAUGUGAAAUCCCCGGGCUCAACCUGGGAACUGCAUCUGAUACUGGCAAGCUUGAGUCUCGUAGAGGGGGGUAGAAUUCCAGGUGUAGCGGUGAAAUGCGUAGAGAUCUGGAGGAAUACCGGUGGCGAAGGCGGCCCCCUGGACGAAGACUGACGCUCAGGUGCGAAAGCGUGGGGAGCAAACA